AGCAGCCGCGGUAAUUCCAGCUCCAAUAGCGUAUAUUAAAGUUGUUGCAGUUAAAAAGCUCGUAGUUGAAUUUCGGGAUCAAUAUGUUGGUCGUGCCUCGGUACGUACUAGCAUAUUGGUUUCUCCUUUCUGAAGAACCAUGAUGUCAUUAAUUUGGUGUUAUGGGGAGUUAGGACUGUUACUUUGAAAAAUUAGAGUGUUUAAAGCAGGCUUUAGCUUGAAUACAUUAGCAUGGAAUAAUGAAAUAGGACGUUCGAACCUAUUUUGUUGGUUUCUAGGAUCAACGUAAUGAUUAAUAGGGAUAGUUGGGGGCAUUAGUAUUCAAUUGUCAGAGGUGAAAUUCUUGGAUUUAUUGAAGGCUAACUACUGCGAAAGCAUUUGCCAAGGAUGUUUCAUUAAUCAAGAACGAAAGUUAGGGGAUCGAAGACGAUCAGAUACCGUCGUAGUCUUAACCAUAAACUAUGCCGACUAGGGAUCGGAUGAUGUUAAUUUUUAAUGUACUCAUUCGGCGCCUUAAC
This 518-nucleotide ribosomal RNA is filed under the name uncultured Glomus. RNAcentral's name for it is "SSU rRNA". It matches the Rfam family "Eukaryotic small subunit ribosomal RNA", at positions 569 to 1092 of the family's 1831-position model. Lineage: Eukaryota; Fungi; Glomeromycota; Glomeromycetes; Glomerales; Glomeraceae. The record is from RNAcentral.